This 549-nucleotide ribosomal RNA is filed under the name Halomonas sp. sed018. Its description in RNAcentral is "bacterial SSU rRNA". It matches the Rfam family "Bacterial small subunit ribosomal RNA", at positions 77 to 628 of the family's 1533-position model. The record is from RNAcentral. Lineage: Bacteria; Pseudomonadati; Pseudomonadota; Gammaproteobacteria; Oceanospirillales; Halomonadaceae.
CUUGCUGGAUGCUGACGAGCGGCGGACGGGUGAGUAAUGCAUAGGAAUCUGCCCGAUAGUGGGGGAUAACCUGGGGAAACCCAGGCUAAUACCGCAUACGUCCUACGGGAGAAAGGGGGCUCCGGCUCCCGCUAUUGGAUGAGCCUAUGUCGGAUUAGCUAGUUGGUGAGGUAAUGGCUCACCAAGGCCACGAUCCGUAGCUGGUCUGAGAGGAUGAUCAGCCACAUCGGGACUGAGACACGGCCCGAACUCCUACGGGAGGCAGCAGUGGGGAAUAUUGGACAAUGGGGGAAACCCUGAUCCAGCCAUGCCGCGUGUGUGAAGAAGGCCCUCGGGUUGUAAAGCACUUUCAGCGAGGAAGAACGCCUAGCGGUUAAUACCCGCUAGGAAAGACAUCACUCGCAGAAGAAGCACCGGCUAACUCCGUGCCAGCAGCCGCGGUAAUACGGAGGGUGCAAGCGUUAAUCGGAAUUACUGGGCGUAAAGCGCGCGUAGGUGGCUUGAUAAGCCGGUUGUGAAAGCCCCGGGCUCAACCUGGGAACGGCAUCC